This 835-nucleotide ribosomal RNA is filed under the name Acinetobacter sp. 7I1. RNAcentral's name for it is "bacterial SSU rRNA". It matches the Rfam family "Bacterial small subunit ribosomal RNA", at positions 614 to 1448 of the family's 1533-position model. The record is from RNAcentral. Lineage: Bacteria; Pseudomonadati; Pseudomonadota; Gammaproteobacteria; Moraxellales; Moraxellaceae.
UUAGGAAUUGCAUUCGAUACUGGAAAGCUAGAGUAUGGGAGAGGAUGGUAGAAUUCCAGGUGUAGCGGUGAAAUGCGUAGAGAUCUGGAGGAAUACCGAUGGCGAAGGCAGCCAUCUGGCCUAAUACUGACGCUGAGGUACGAAAGCAUGGGGAGCAAACAGGAUUAGAUACCCUGGUAGUCCAUGCCGUAAACGAUGUCUACUAGCCGUUGGGGCCUUUGAGGCUUUAGUGGCGCAGCUAACGCGAUAAGUAGACCGCCUGGGGAGUACGGUCGCAAGACUAAAACUCAAAUGAAUUGACGGGGGCCCGCACAAGCGGUGGAGCAUGUGGUUUAAUUCGAUGCAACGCGAAGAACCUUACCUGGCCUUGACAUACUAAGAACUUUCCAGAGAUGGAUUGGUGCCUUCGGGAACUUAGAUACAGGUGCUGCAUGGCUGUCGUCAGCUCGUGUCGUGAGAUGUUGGGUUAAGUCCCGCAACGAGCGCAACCCUUUUCCUUAUUUGCCAGCGGGUCAUGCCGGGAACUUUAAGGAUACUGCCAGUGACAAACUGGAGGAAGGCGGGGACGACGUCAAGUCAUCAUGGCCCUUACGGCCAGGGCUACACACGUGCUACAAUGGUCGGUACAAAGGGUUGCUACCUCGCGAGAGGAUGCUAAUCUCAAAAAGCCGAUCGUAGUCCGGAUCGCAGUCUGCAACUCGACUGCGUGAAGUCGGAAUCGCUAGUAAUCGCGGAUCAGAAUGCCGCGGUGAAUACGUUCCCGGGCCUUGUACACACCGCCCGUCACACCAUGGGAGUUUGUUGCACCAGAAGUAGGUAGUCUAACCGCAAGGAG